Molecule: non-coding RNA, 23 nt
Filed under: Cricetulus griseus (Chinese hamster)
Lineage: Eukaryota; Metazoa; Chordata; Mammalia; Rodentia; Cricetidae
Source: RNAcentral
AAAUAAAGAGGACUGUAAAUAUU